Molecule: ribosomal RNA, 460 nt
Filed under: uncultured bacterium
Lineage: Bacteria
Description: partial 16S ribosomal RNA
Rfam family: Bacterial small subunit ribosomal RNA
Source: RNAcentral
CCUACGGGUGGCAGCAGUGAGGAAUAUUGGUCAAUGGACGAGAGUCUGAACCAGCCAAGUAGCGUGAAGGAUGACUGCCCUAUGGGUUGUAAACUUCUUUUAUAUGGGAAUAAAAUGUUCCACGUGUGGGAUUUUGUAUGUACCAUAUGAAUAAGGAUCGGCUAACUCCGUGCCAGCAGCCGCGGUAAUACGGAGGAUCCGAGCGUUAUCCGGAUUUAUUGGGUUUAAAGGGAGCGUAGGUGGAUUGUUAAGUCAGUUGUGAAAGUUUGGGGCUCAACCGUAAAAUUGCAGUUGAAACUGGCAGUCUUGAGUACAGUAGAGGUGGGCGGAAUUCGUGGUGUAGCGGUGAAAUGCUUAGAUAUCACGAAGAACUCCGAUUGCGAAGGAAGUUCACUGGACUGCAACUGACACUGAGGCUCGAAAGUGUGGGUAUCAAACAGGAUUAGAUACCCGAGUAGUC